CCUACGGGGGGCACCAUUAGGGAAUCUUCGGCAAUGGACGAAAGUCUGACCGAGCAACGCCGCGUGAGUGAAGAAGGUUUUCGGAUCGUAAAACUCUGUUGUUAGAGAAGAACAAGGACGUUGGUAACUGAACGUCCCCUGACGGUAUCUAACCAGAAAGCCACGGCUAACUACGUGCCAGCAGCCGCGGUAAUACGUAGGUGGCAAGCGUUGUCCGGAUUUAUUGGGCGUAAAGCGAGCGCAGGCGGUUUCUUAAGUCUGAUGUGAAAGCCCCCGGCUCAACCGGGGAGGGUCAUUGGAAACUGGGAGACUUGAGUACAGAAGAGGAGAGUGGAAUUCCAUGUGUAGCGGUGAAAUGCGUAGAUAUAUGGAGGAACACCAGUGGCGAAGGCGGCUCUCUGGUCUGUAACUGACGCUGAGGCUCGAAAGCGUGGGGAGCAAACAGGAUUAGAUACCCGUGUAGUC
RNAcentral lists this ribosomal RNA (465 nucleotides) under uncultured bacterium. RNAcentral's name for it is "bacterial SSU rRNA". It matches the Rfam family "Bacterial small subunit ribosomal RNA", at positions 338 to 795 of the family's 1533-position model. The record is from RNAcentral.